UACGAAGGGGGCGAGCGUUGUUCGGAUUUACUGGGCGUAAGGGCGCGCAGGCCGCGCAUUUUGUCAGGCGUGAAAGCCCCGGGCUUAACCUGGGAACUGCGUUUGAUACGGAUGGGCUAGAGUUCGGGAGAGGAGAGUGGAAUUCCCAGUGUAGAGGUGAAAUUCGUAGAUAUUGGGAAGAACACCGGUGGCGAAGGCGGCUCUCUGGCCCGGUUCUGACGCUGAGGCGCGAAAGCGUGGGGAGCAAACAGG
Molecule: ribosomal RNA, 252 nt
Filed under: uncultured bacterium
Lineage: Bacteria
Description: partial 16S ribosomal RNA
Rfam family: Bacterial small subunit ribosomal RNA
Source: RNAcentral